UUAUCAGGUCAAACCUGUUUCCUCAUGGA
RNAcentral lists this non-coding RNA (29 nucleotides) under Mus musculus (house mouse). Lineage: Eukaryota; Metazoa; Chordata; Mammalia; Rodentia; Muridae. The record is from RNAcentral.